GUCGAGAAUCUUUCACAAUGGGGGCAACCCUGAUGGAGCGACGCCGCGUGGAGGAUAAGGUCUUCGGAUUGUAAACUCCUGUCAUGCGUGAACAAGGUUGCUUGGUUAAUACCUGGGCAAAUUGAUGGUAACGCAAGAGGAAGAGACGGCUAACUCUGUGCCAGCAGCCGCGGUAAUACAGAGGUCUCAAGCGUUGUUCGGAAUCACUGGGCGUAAAGGGUGCGUAGGUGGCGUGGUAAGUCAGAUGUGAAAGCCCGGGGAUCAACCUCGGAACUGCAUCCGAUACUGCCAUGCUAGAGUACUGGAGAGGUGACUAGAAUUCUCGGUGUAGCAGUGAAAUGCGUAGAUAUCGAGAGGAAUACCAAAGGCGUAGGCAGGUCACUGGACAGUUACUGACACUGAGGCACGAAGGCCAGGGGAGCGAACGGGAUUAGAUACCCGAGUAGUCC
RNAcentral lists this ribosomal RNA (449 nucleotides) under uncultured bacterium. Its description in RNAcentral is "partial 16S ribosomal RNA". It matches the Rfam family "Bacterial small subunit ribosomal RNA", at positions 354 to 796 of the family's 1533-position model. The record is from RNAcentral.